Molecule: unclassified non-coding RNA, 246 nt
Filed under: uncultured Russula
Lineage: Eukaryota; Fungi; Basidiomycota; Agaricomycetes; Russulales; Russulaceae
Description: sequence contains ITS2
Source: RNAcentral
AAUCCNCAAAACCCCCCCUUCUUUGGGAGUUUUGGAAUUGGAGGUCUAAUGCUCGCUUUUGCCUUUGAAGGCGAGCUCCUCUCAAAUGAAUCAGUGGGGUCUGCUUUGCUGGUCCUUGACGUGAUAAGAUGUUUCUACGUUUUGGAUUUGGCAUCGUCCCUGCUCCUAAUCGUCUCCAGGACAAUGAUGGUGCUUCCGGUCACCGCCAAUCCACAUUGGCGCGAGGCUNNNNCCACAAAAAUAAAA